Molecule: ribosomal RNA, 153 nt
Filed under: Architeuthis sp. BED-2003
Lineage: Eukaryota; Metazoa; Mollusca; Cephalopoda; Oegopsida; Architeuthidae
Description: partial 16S ribosomal RNA
Source: RNAcentral
AUUGAGCUUAUAAUUUUAUUGUUGUUUUGUAAUUAUUUAUGUGAUGAUAGAUAAAUUUUAAUUGGGGUGAUUGAGGAAUAAGGUAAUAGUAGUAACUUCCUUAGAAAUAAAUGUUGUUGGGUGAAGUAACCAAUAUAUUAUUGCUUAUAAUAU